UCUAUUUUUUGGUUUUCUCUGAUCAGUUUCCUAAAUGUUUAUCACUAAUGUUUGAUGUUGUCCAGCAUGAAUGGGAUUUGAAACAGUAUAUAUCUGUGAUGUGAUUUGUGAGGAUGUAAAUGAGUGUGUGUAAAGCGGAUUCUCUGCUCUUGUUAAUUGAAUCGGAUUUCUUCUAGUUUUAAAUCCACAGAAACUCUAUAAGGGGUUUAUCUGAGCAGAUAUAAAGAGACACACACUGUAUAACACACUCUAUUUCAACCUUUAAUAUCUGUUUCAUAUCUUCACAUGAAACAUCAAACUGUCGGAAUAUCUGAAGAAUGAAGUAAAACAGCAGCUCAAGAUCUCAGAUGUCCUUCAUCAUCAUCAUCAUCAUCAUCAUCACGACCAGAAUCAAGAUUCUCAUCAAGACUUCAGAAAAAGUUGAUUCAUCACACACAUCAUGGCCGUUCAGGACUCAUUAAAUAACAGCACAUGGGAAGUUGACAGAUAACAUAGACAUCAACGUUCUGUUAUUCAACAUUAAGAUUUUAGAGUUCCUCACACUGAAGAUGAAGAUAUGUCUCCUUCACCGCUGCUCAAAAACAUGUUUCCGACAAAGAGAUUCUAAAGUGAAUUUUUCCAAUUAUCUGUGUCAUAAAACACGUAAAACAGCACAGAACAAACUUCUAUUCUGAGGUGUUUAAUGAUGCUUGUAACUUGUUUUUGGUGAAAAAUAACAAGUGUAAUUCCAGCUCAAUGGCUGAUAAGAUUCUAUUGGAGCUGUAAAGUUGUAUAAAUCAGAAUUUUAUGGGCGUUUUAGUGUAUACAGCGUUACAUCGUCAUGGCAACGGAGUUGUAAAAUUGUCUAUAACUUUACACAGAUGUGGUUAGUAAGUGAUUUUGUCACAGUGAAAUCAUGUUUCAUUGGCCAGCAAGCCAUGUCACCCUGUAGCUCAAGACCGGUUGCCCACUGAAGCUAAGCAGGGUUGAGUCUGGCCAGUACCUGGAUGGGAGACCUCCUGGGGAAACUAAGGUUGCUGCUGGAAGAGGUGUUAGAGAGUCCAGCAGGGGGUGUUCACCCUGCUAUCUGUGCAGGUCCUAAUGCCCCAGUAUAGUGACGGAGACACUAUACUGUAAAAAGACACUGUCUUUUGGAUGAGACGUUAAUCUGAGGUCCUGACUGUCUGUGGUCAUUAAAAAUCCCAGAGCACUUUUUGUUAAGAGUAGGGGUGUAUCCCUGGUGUCCUGGCCAAAUUCCCCCCAUUGGCCCUUAUCAAUCAUGGCCUCCUAAUUAUCCCUAUCCAUUAAUUGACCGUAUCACUCUACUCUCUCCUCUCCAUCAAUAGCUGGUGUGUGGUGAGUGUACUGGUGCACUAUGGCUGCCGUCGCAUCAUACUGGUGGAGGUUUGAGGAGAUUCCCCUGUUCACUGUGUAAAACACUUUGAAAACACUAUAGAAAUGUAACAUUCAUGUUAACACACAUAUUGUUUAUGUCUUGUGUCUAUACUUCUGAAACAGUGAGUAUUUUAAUGUUUACAGAUUGACCCCAUUGACUUCCAUUGUAAGUGUCUCACUGGAACACACAUUUAAAGAAAAGGAGGGACGAGUUGAAAUGUAAUUUUUGUGUUUAUCAAUAUUAUAACACACAUGCUGUCGAUUGAGCUCAACUUGUAUUGAACCCGGAAUAUUCCUUUAAUUACCAAAACACAAUACCAUAAAUCAAAUUCAUAUUUAUUCAUGUUUUUUUACACAGUGUAAAUCAGGUAAGGUCCAUGUUUUUCCAACUAAAGAAAUGCUUAAGAUCAGUGUAAUAGACAAUUGUGAUUAAAUAUUGUUGUUUAAAUUCUGAGAAUUCUAAUAAAA
Molecule: long non-coding RNA, 1842 nt
Organism: Myxocyprinus asiaticus (Chinese sucker)
Lineage: Eukaryota; Metazoa; Chordata; Actinopteri; Cypriniformes; Catostomidae
Exons: 3
Source: RefSeq, a predicted model, not a curated record